RNAcentral lists this ribosomal RNA (429 nucleotides) under Actinomycetes bacterium. RNAcentral describes it as "Actinobacteria bacterium partial 16S ribosomal RNA". It matches the Rfam family "Bacterial small subunit ribosomal RNA", at positions 355 to 776 of the family's 1533-position model. The record is from RNAcentral. Lineage: Bacteria; Bacillati; Actinomycetota; Actinomycetes.
UAGGGAAUCUUCCGCAAUGGGCGAAAGCCUGACGGAGCAACGCCGCGUGAGUGAUGAAGGUCUUCGGAUCGUAAAACUCUGUUAUUAGGGAAGAACAAAUGUGUAAGUAACUAUGCACGUCUUGACGGUACCUAAUCAGAAAGCCACGGCUAACUACGUGCCAGCAGCCGCGGUAAUACGUAGGUGGCAAGCGUUAUCCGGAAUUAUUGGGCGUAAAGCGCGCGUAGGCGGUUUUUUAAGUCUGAUGUGAAAGCCCACGGCUCAACCGUGGAGGGUCAUUGGAAACUGGAAAACUUGAGUGCAGAAGAGGAAAGUGGAAUUCCAUGUGUAGCGGUGAAAUGCGCAGCGAUAUGGAGGAACACCAGUGGCGAAGGCGACUUUCUGGUCUGUAACUGACGCUGAUGUGCGAAAGCGUGGGGAUCAAACAGG